UGACUGUAUUUCAAAGGCAGUGACUGUAAACAAACUUGGUUGAAGAAAUAAGAACCACAUGACAAAAUGCUUGAAUUAAAUCUUUUUUUUUUUUUUUUUUUUUUUUGCCACAUUUCACAUUUGAGAACCCAGAAUUCAGCUCCUGUUAUACAAAAUUUGUAAAAAUUUAUUGCCUUGGCGUAAAGUGACAAUCAUGCCUUGGCGUAAAGUGAAAAUCUUCACAGAAGGGUAUGCUUUGUGUCACCAAAUGGGGGUGCAGCUGUGUGAUAUCUGUGCAGUUUGUGAUAAAAUUAAAAAUUUUCUGUGAAAGAUUCUUAACUGGAAAUUGGAAGGGAAAACAAGAAGAAACAAUGUAAUGUAGCAGUGGAAACAAAAUUCUCACAAUGAAUAGCAGUCUUUCCAGCUUCUUUGACACGGAUUUCCUCAUCAUCAAUGGCGGCUCUCCUGAACUAGGGAUGAGUGUGAAUCUCCAUUUGAGGAAGGGGAAGAAGAGCUUGGAGGGUGACAGCCUCCCCCUGAGAGAGCCAGUUGUGUUCAUGAUUUUGGUUCCUUCUUCCUCCUAAUUAAGCAUCUGCCCAGGAGCCCAGGAGCCAGGGCUUAGCUUCCUGGCUAUUUUCAACUCUUCUUAGUGAAGACCAGCAUUGCCAGCCCACUGACCCCAGUAGGGUCACCCCUGCCCACUGAGAACCAGCCACCCCCUCACCCCCCACCAGAGUUCCCUGAAGGAACCAGCUGCCUCUAGUGGGAGACAGAGUAAAGGCAGAGGGGCCCCUCCUUUCUCAGGUGCCCUGUGCUAGUGUUGGGCAGCUCUAAGGUUGGAAACUGCUUUCCCCACUGAGCUGAAGGCUGCCUCCUGGGAUAUGCACCCGGCGGUCCCCAUUCAGCCCCGGGAGCCACUCGGAUCAAGUCUGGCUGUAUCCCGAGGGCGACCAGGACAGCCCUGUGAGCAGCAGUUCCCCUCCUGGAACACUGCUUCACCAGCCCAUCACCCCAGCCCUGUGGACUGCUCCUCCCUCACCUGGUUUCUACGUGGACCCACCAUUCUUGCCCUCCUGGACCCCUAAACUGGCCCAUGUGUUUAGUUGUAGAAUGGGGGCCAGGACUGGACAUGUGGUUUGAUUGCUAAGGACCUAGCAGAGGCUCAUCAUGUGGUAGACUCUGUAUUUUAUCGUGUGUGUAUGUGUGUGUAUAUUUACACACACAUACACACAAGAUAGAUAUAUAUAUUAAGUGGACACUGUAUGUGUAUAUAUACACAUACAUAUAUUAUAGAUGUAUGCAUAUAUGUAUAUAUGUAUACAUAUAUGUAUAUGUGCAUACAUAUAGAGGUAUACAUAUAGAUGCAUAUCUGUAUACAUGUGUAUAUAUAUACAUAUAUGGAUACAUACAUAUUUAUGUGUACACAUAUAUGUAUAUGUGUAUAUGUGUACACAUAUAUGUAUGUGUAUACAUACAUAAGUAUAU
This 1464-nucleotide long non-coding RNA is filed under the name Homo sapiens (human). RNAcentral describes it as "non-protein coding lnc-GALNT2-1:1". The record is from RNAcentral. Lineage: Eukaryota; Metazoa; Chordata; Mammalia; Primates; Hominidae.